UCGGGAAUUUUGCGCAAUGGGGGAAACCCUGACGCAGCAAUACCGCGUGUGGGAUGAAGGCCUUCGGGUCGUAAACCACUUUUUUCGGGGACGAUAAUGACGGUACCCGAAGAAUAAGCCACGGCUAACUACGUGCCAGCAGCCGCGGUAAUACGUAGGUGGCAAGCGUUGUCCGGAUUUACUGGGCGUAAAGCGCGCGCAGGCGGUGAAUGAAGUCGAAAGUGAAAGGCCCGGGCUCAACUCGGGAAC
This 249-nucleotide ribosomal RNA is filed under the name uncultured bacterium. Its description in RNAcentral is "partial 16S ribosomal RNA". It matches the Rfam family "Bacterial small subunit ribosomal RNA", at positions 355 to 621 of the family's 1533-position model. The record is from RNAcentral.